GAGCCAUCUGAAUCUCUAUGGCUCGUGGCGGUAUAUCUCUUGCUCUCACUUGAUUCCCGUGAAUCUUCUGGCCAGUGAUUAGAGAGUGCUUCAAUCAGGGAGUCAUGGGAGAGAGUAGCAGCAGGCCCUCCUC
Caenorhabditis elegans is the source of this 133-nucleotide non-coding RNA. The record is from Ensembl. NCBI's taxonomy places the organism in Eukaryota, Metazoa, Nematoda, Chromadorea, Rhabditida, Rhabditidae.